Molecule: ribosomal RNA, 305 nt
Filed under: uncultured bacterium
Lineage: Bacteria
Description: bacterial SSU rRNA
Rfam family: Bacterial small subunit ribosomal RNA
Source: RNAcentral
GCCUACGGGGCGCAGCAGUGGGGGAUAUUGCACAAUGGGGGAAACCCUGAUGCAGCGACGCCGCGUGGGCGAAGAAGUAUUUCGGUAUGUAAAGCCCUAUCAGCAGGGAAGAAGAAAUGACGGUACCUGAGUAAGAAGCACCGGCUAAAUACGUGCCAGCAGCCGCGGUAAUACGUAUGGUGCAAGCGUUAUCCGGAUUUACUGGGUGUAAAGGGAGCGCAGGCGGCACGGCAAGCCCGAUGUGAAAGCCCGCGGCCCAACCGCGGGACUGCAUUGGGAACUACUGGGCUGGAGUGCCGGAGAGG